This 492-nucleotide ribosomal RNA is filed under the name uncultured bacterium. RNAcentral's name for it is "partial 16S ribosomal RNA". It matches the Rfam family "Bacterial small subunit ribosomal RNA", at positions 29 to 507 of the family's 1533-position model. The record is from RNAcentral.
AGUGAACGCUGGCGGUAGGCCUAACACAUGCAAGUCGAACGGCAGCACAGUAAAAGCUUGCUCUUACGGGUGGCGAGUGGCGGACGGGUGAGGAAUACAUCGGAAUCUACUUUUUCGUGGGGGAUAACGUAGGGAAACUUACGCAAAUACCGCAUACGACCUACGGGUGAAAGCAGGGGAUCUUCGGACCUUGCGCGAUUGAAUGAGCCGAUGUCGGAUUAGCUAGUUGGCGGGGUAAAGGCCCACCAAGGCGACGAUCCGUAGCUGGUCUGAGAGGAUGAUCAGCCACACUGGAACUGAGACACGGUCCAGACUCCUACGGGAGGCAGCAGUGGGGAAUAUUGGACAAUGGGCGCAAGCCUGAUCCAGCCAUACCGCGUGGGUGAAGAAGGCCUUCGGGUUGUAAAGCCCUUUUGUUGGGAAAGAAAAGCAGCAGGUUAAUACCCCGCUGUUCUGACGGUACCCAAAGAAUAAGCACCGGCUAACUUCGUG